GGAAAGGCGCGCGAUACAGGGUGACAGCCCCGUACACAAAAAUGCACAUGCUGUGAGCUCGAUGAGUAGGGCGGGACACGUGGUAUCCUGUCUGAAUAUGGGGGGACCAUCCUCCAAGGCUAAAUACUCCUGACUGACCGAUAGUGAACCAGUACCGUGAGGGAAAGGCGAAAAGAACCCCGGCGAGGGGAGUGAAAAAGAACCUGAAACCGUGUACGUACAAGCAGUGGGAGCACGCUUAGGCGUGUGACUGCGUACCUUUUGUAUAAUGGGUCAGCGACUUAUAUUCUGUAGCAAGGUUAACCGAAUAGGGGAGCCGAAGGGAAACCGAGUCUUAACUGGGCGUUAAGUUGCAGGGUAUAGACCCGAAACCCGGUGAUCUAGCCAUGGGCAGGUUGAAGGUUGGGUAACACUAACUGGAGGACCGAACCGACUAAUGUUGAAAAAUUAGCGGAUGACUUGUGGCUGGGGGUGAAAGGCCAAUCAAACCGGGAGAUAGCUGGUUCUCCCCGAAAGCUAUUUAGGUAGCGCCUCGUGAAUUCAUCUCCGGGGGUAGAGCACUGUUUCGGCAAGGGGGUCAUCCCGACUUACCAACCCGAUGCAAACUGCGAAUACCGGAGAAUGUUAUCACGGGAGACACACGGCGGGUGCUAACGUCCGUCGUGAAGAGGGAAACAACCCAGACCGCC
This 689-nucleotide ribosomal RNA is filed under the name Escherichia coli. RNAcentral describes it as "partial 23S ribosomal RNA". It matches the Rfam family "Bacterial large subunit ribosomal RNA", at positions 344 to 1036 of the family's 2925-position model. The record is from RNAcentral. Lineage: Bacteria; Pseudomonadati; Pseudomonadota; Gammaproteobacteria; Enterobacterales; Enterobacteriaceae.